This is a long non-coding RNA of Helianthus annuus (common sunflower), 5322 nucleotides long. RefSeq lists it as uncharacterized. Lineage: Eukaryota; Viridiplantae; Streptophyta; Magnoliopsida; Asterales; Asteraceae. The record is from RefSeq and is a predicted model, not a curated record. The transcript has 13 exons.
ACAGUUUGGGGCCGACGGUGAAGACGGGGCGUUCUUAGGGGGUGAUGUUCAGGCCCGUCGCCGACCAUAGGACGGAGCCCACAUAGAGUAGUUUAAAAACAAAACAGAAAGGAACAAGACAUAAUUUUCAUCAAAAUAGACAUGACACACCAACACAAGCUACUUUGACUACCUAAGUGUUAAAUUAUGUUUUCCCUCCACAAAAUGUCUACAUCCUUAGGCUACACGGUAUGGUGCCGGAGAAGAGGACGUCGCCGGAGCAAGACCGAGGGGGGCGGCGUGGGAGGACGGGCGUCACCAAGGGGGGCCCACAUGCUUUGGUCCGUCGCAAACGGCUUAACUCCGACGGGGAGGACGGGACGGAGGGGCGGCGGCGUGGGACGACGGUGGUGAUGUGGCGGCGAAGUUGGAGGACGAACCUGGCGACGGUUCCAUACCGUUUAGCCUUACCUACCCCAAACGAUCACUCACAUAUAGCAUUUCAAAACAAUAUACUCUCAUCAGUCACCACCCUCUCCAUUAUUCUGGGGUGUUUGGGGUUUUUUUUUUCCAUCUCCUUUUGACUUAUUUUAUUAACACUUAAUAAGUUAUAACAAUAGUGUUUGACAAAGUACUUUUAAAAUGACUUUUGGUUUGUACUAUCAGAAGGCAAAUUUGAAAAGUAAAGAUUUAUAACUUCUCAAAUAGCAAAAUGACUUUUGAAAAAUUUAUGACCAUUACACCCUUCACCUACCUACCUGCCCUUCCAAACACUGCUGCCAUCUUCAACAGCAUUAGGGUGAAGGGGGUGCUCACCUAAUAGGUGAGUCCCCUCUCUUACGCUAAACCAAUCCCCGCGUGCCACGUCAACUCCACUCUUAAACUCUCCUAACACCCUAAUUUGAUGGCGCAACUCCCCUCUUAGGUGAAUUGUUUUUUUUUUUUUUAAAAAAAAAAAAAAAGAAAAUCAUUGAUUGGAUGGCAGCUCCCUCUCUCCUCUCUCUCUCCUCCCCCUCUCUUCGGUGAACCCCCACCCAUUUCACUCCUCUCACCCACUCACCUAAGGGAUGGCGGCGGUGUUCCCUUUAGGUGAAUGGGGUCACCGAUUGCAUUCCCCGCUUACACCCCGUAUACCCUUAAUCUCCAUCUCUGUUCAUCUCUUUUAAAACAGAUCCUCAAUUCUCACAAACAGAUCUUCUUUUCAACCGAUCAGAUCAAAUCAAACCCUUACUCCAUUUCUGUUAUCAUUAAUCUCCAUCUCUGUUCAUCAUCAAUUAAGGUUACCAGCGACUACACCUUCAUCUGCCGCCUUCACCGGAGCAGCUUCGUUAAUACUAGCACCAUUAAUCCUCCAACUACCGCCUUCAAUUACCCCCAUCUACCAUGCCAGCUUCCUUCGUUUAUUAUCCGACCCUUACAUCAUAUCUACCAUCAAACCUUUACAUCUCAACAACAAAACAAAAUCACCCAUCACUGCUGUUGCUUGUUGCUCGCUGCUGCUGGAGCCAUACCGGAGAUAGAAUCAUCUGCAGGAGAUCGUAGCUUUUCAACUGCACUAACUAAUCCUACGGCUCACCAUAUCAUCCUCAUUUUUAGCUCCAAAAUCACCAAUCCAAGCCUAAAUCUUUCAUCUUCUAAGUGAUCUCAAACGUUUUUAAGGGGUUUUCUUGCUUAAGGACUCAAGUUUUCUCGUUUCUCUCAAGAAUCUUCACCUAGCCUUGCUAGUGCAACAAAGUUAUAAGUUAAAAGAGAGAACCAAAAGAGACAAAAGACAACCUGUGAUCUCCUUUACUCUCUCCACUAUAGCCUCUGUUACAACCACCUUCCUGGCUUUUCUGCUCCUUCAUUAUAAUAACACUUCAAUUAGUUCCCAACUCCACAUCAAUGCAACCUAAACCUCUCAUUCUCUUUGGUUUUCCCCCAUUUUGUUGCAAUAUAAGCAAAACCAAUACCGCCACGUUCAACCUUUCUUCAAACCACCAGAAUCGUCCCCAGCAGAUGAGUAUGGAGUUGCACUCUAUAAUGAUAUGGAGAGGCGCAUGCAACUUUUUAAGGCACCAACAUAUGGUACAAGUGGACUAUACUACUUUCAUAAAAAAAAAAGUUGCAGACCACCACCGUUUUUUAGGGGAUGUGAAAGAAGUCGCCUUCAUACAUACUAGUGACCCGACAUAUACAAGAAGCUGCAAGAUGGUCAUGGAAUCUGCUGAUUCACUUGGAAAUAUUCUGGGAAGCACUAGCCAUACCAUUGAUGAGCGUAAGGUGGCCGUUGAGCGUUACCUUGGGUAAUAACUAAUAAGUAGGGAGGCACACACACCCGUGGCUAUUUCUCAAGGGAAAACAAAUCGUGAGAGUGACUGGGCUUGACGUUACCAUGAAUCAAUGCGAUGUGUAUAGGGAGCUUGAGAAUGCCUUUGCUAACUGUGGAUCAUGUACGACAGGGUAAUCCGGCGGCGAUUACGGUUCGAUUACGGCUGUUACAAGUUGUUUCGAACACACAAACGACUCAUCCGGCGGCGAUUUGUAACAAUUUCAGGCGAAUACGUUCGAUAACCGGCGGCGAUACGGAUGUUCUAAGUUGUUGCGGAGGCGAUUACGAUCGAUUACGGCGGCGAUUACAGUUGUUCUAAGUUGUUGAGGAGUAUAAUGACUACAAAUGAAAUCGGUGAAUCGGAUGACAAACGUGAAACCAGAUAGGGUAGAUCGAAGGGCAUCCUGAGGAAGAAGAUUACAGGUACCAAAUUAUACAUAAAUUUUGAGGAAGAAGACUACAUGUAACAAAUUAUAUACAUAGAUUUAUUGUAGUUUUUAGUUUACACAUGUAAUAUGUAUAGCAACUUGAAAUUGAAACACAUAUUUGUACAAUUACAACAAAUUAGGGCAUAUUUCACCCGAAUAACACAUUUUUAGGUCAAUUCUGAAAAAUAAUAUGGUAUUUUAAUGGCGUUUUUUGUGUUAAAUACAAUAUUUAGUAUGUUAAUAGACGUAGCUUGUAUAUUUUGUGAUGAUAGUUAAAUAAUUACAAUUUUUGUGUAAAAUUAUGGAUACAGAGAUUAAUUUUUGUAUGUUGUAUGAAUACACAUGUAAUUUAGUACACAAAUGUAUGAUUAUGUUAGUUUUUACAAAGUAUGCAUAUAUGCAUAUAACGUGAUAUGUACAUAUAAAGUAUGUAAAAUAAUAUGUAUACAUGUACAGUUGCAUGUACAAUAUGUUUUACAUAUACAUAUGCAUAUAUAUUAAUGGUAUGCAUAUAUGCAUAUAUAUUAAUCAUAUGCAUAUAGAUUAAUGGUAUGCAUAUAUGCAUAUAUAUUGAUGGUAUGAAUUUAUGCAUAUAUAUUAAUGGUAUGCAUUUAUGCAUACAGUUUGUUGAAUAGAACAGAGAUUAAUUUUGUAUGUUGUAUGAAUACACAUGUAAUUUAGUACACAAAUGUAUGAUUAUGUUAGUUUUGACAAAGUAUGCAUAUAUGCAUACAAUGUGAUAUGUACAUAUAAAGUAUGUAAAGUAAUAUGUGUACAUGUACAGUUGCAUAUGCAAUAUGUUUUACAUAUACAGAUGCAUAUAUAUUAAUGGUAGGCAUAUAUGCAUAUAUAUUAAUGGUAUGCAUUUAUGUAUACAAGUUGUUGAAUAUAAAGUAUGUUUACAUGUACAUUGAAUAUAGAUUAAUGGUAUGCAUACAAGUUGUUGAAUAUAAAGUAUGUUUAUAUGUACAUUGCACAUAGAUUAAUGGUAUGCAUUUAUGCAUACAUGUUGAUGCAUAUAUAUAAUAUAUGUACAUGUACAAUUGCAUACAUAUUAAUGGUAUGCAUUUAUGCAUAUAAAAUAACGGUAAAAUAUGUAAACGUAUAUGUUAUCAGUUUUAAUAUAUUAACAUUGUUUAAUUGCAUGUUUAUACAACAGGUGAUGAAAGGGAAAAAAAGGAAAGUGACAUUUAGUGCCGAUGUUAAGAAAACUGAUGCAAAUCCAACACAUAUUAGAAAAAGGAAACAUAAUGAUGAUAAAGAAGAUAAUGAACCAAUUGUGUCGAUGAUUAGGAAAUCACAAAUUAGAAAAAGGAAAAGUAACGUUAACAAUAAAGAUGUGGAGAAUGCAAAAAACACAACAACAGUUGAACAACCAAGCAAAGACACAUAUGGAUGAUAUAGAAGAUACGGUAAUCGUAUUGAAGCAUCAGAUGAAUGACAUAAAGGAAGAGUUGGAAAGACAGUUUUUGCUUAAUCCAGACGAUGAACAAUUGUUGAAAGUGAUUGGGAUGUUUAAUGAGACUUUCAAGGAAACUGUAAAGAUGGAAAAGGUUAAACAGAACGUUGAUGAAAUUGUUGAUGGUGUUAUUAGUAUGUUACAGAAAAACGUAAGGACGGAUGAUACAAAGGAAGGGGAUGAAUGUGGGAAAACAGAUGUGAAAAAAGGUGGAAAAUUAGGAAUUGAUGAAAGUAAGGGUACUGAUGACGUAGAGACAGGUGAUAAAUCGGUAGCACAAAAAAAGGUGGCAUAUAAGUAUCGUAAGAAGGAGAGGAUGUAGUUGAUAAGUCAAUGCCAUCAUUUGUAUUAUUGACCCCAAGUUCGCAAGAAUCAGAUGAUGAUGAGUGCGAGGAGGUAGUGCCGAUGAAUAAACCGUUGGACGAGAAAGAAAAAUUGUUAUGGAAUUUUGUGAUGAUCAUUGGGAUGGAAAAAAAGAGGAUCGAGGGAAAUAAGAAGGAUGACGAAUAUGGGAGGGGCGUAUAUGAUGAAGAUGGAAAAGGCGAAGUUGACACAGAAAAGAAAAAUGACAAAUCCGGAUUAAGCUUUAUGUUGAAGAUGUUUGAAACACAACAUGGAUUGCAUGCAUUGGGGCAUACAAUGAACACGCUAGAUUUUGGGAAGGAGAUAUCAUCAAAUCUGAUAGAUUGUUGGACAAAAUGUUAAAUGAUAAGGAGAAAAAGAUGGUGGCUAGCGGGAAAAGACGGUUGUUCUGUUAUACAUCAAACUUUCCGGAAUAUAUGCUGAAGAAGAAGCAAGAUGAGGAGAUGGCUUUGAAAUCUGUGAAAAAGUAUUUGAGAGAAGUAUUUGAAAGGGACGACACGCUGUUGGAUUUGAGAGCUUUUAAUAUAAUAGUGGUACCAAUGAUCGAAAAGGCACAUUUUUAUCUUAUUUGUAUGGAUUUGGAUACGGGAGAUGUGCAGGUGACAGAUAACAUGGAUUCAAACAGAGACGCCGUGCAUGUAAGGACAUCAUCAGAGUUUAGAUACAUGGGGACACCAUUGUUAGUGCACUACAUCUGUUGAUUGCGUCUAGGUGUUUAGGAUCAGGUCUUUUAUCGUAUUGUAUAGCAUAGGGCACGUAAUACGAGAAAACAGGAGUCUGUA